GCCGGCAGCUAGCUCUCUGCAACUCUCACAUGGCCGCCCACUGAAGCUAAGCAGGGCUGCGCCCGGUCAGUACCUGGAUGGGAGACCACAUGGGAAAGCUAGGUUGCUGCCGGAA
Molecule: ribosomal RNA, 115 nt
Filed under: Danio rerio (zebrafish)
Lineage: Eukaryota; Metazoa; Chordata; Actinopteri; Cypriniformes; Danionidae
Source: RNAcentral